GAAAUGCGAUAAGUAGUGUGAAUUGCAGAAUUCAGUGAAUCAUUGAAUCUUUAAACGCACAUUGCGCCCUUUGGUAUUCCUUAGGGCAUGCCUGUUCAAGCGUUAUCUAAACCUUCAAGCACUGCUUGGUGUUGGGUGCCUGUCCCGCCCCCGCGCGUGGACUCACCUUAAAUCUAUUGGCGGCCCUUACGUCGGCUUCGAGCGCAGCAGAAACGCGAACUCGAGGCCCGGCGGAGCGGCUCCUAGAAGCUACUUUCACCAUUUUAACCUUGGAUCAGGUAGGGAUACCCGCUGAACUUAA
Molecule: unclassified non-coding RNA, 301 nt
Filed under: uncultured fungus
Lineage: Eukaryota; Fungi
Description: sequence contains ITS1
Rfam family: 5.8S ribosomal RNA (bases 1-105)
Source: RNAcentral